Molecule: ribosomal RNA, 254 nt
Filed under: uncultured bacterium
Lineage: Bacteria
Description: partial 16S ribosomal RNA
Rfam family: Bacterial small subunit ribosomal RNA
Source: RNAcentral
UACAGAGGCCUCGAGCGUUAGGCGGAAUCACUGGGCGUAAAGGGCGCGUAGGCGGCCACUGCAAGUCAGUUGUGAAAUCUCCGGGCUUAACCCGGAAAGGUCAACUGAUACUGCAGGGCUAGAGUGCAGAAGGGGCAACUGGAAUUCUCGGUGUAGCGGUGAAAUGCGUAGAUAUCGAGAGGAACACCUGCGGCGAAGGCGGGUUGCUGGGCUGACACUGACGCUGAGGCGCGAAAGCCAGGGGAGCGAACGGG